CAGGUUACAGAGGGCAAAUGCUGUAAAUUCUCUUUAACGGAAUAACUGGGCAGAUGUACUUGGGAACAUUUAAAAAACUAAGUUGGCAUCGGAAAGGAAACAGCCAAUAUAUUUAGCUACCCAUGGCAUGCCAAGGCCUUAUUGAGACAGAAAUAAGCACUGUAGGAGGAAUCUCAAUUAAAUAUUUUUCUAAGCAGUCAGCUCUGGGGCUUUGGCUGAACAUGGAUAUAGAGCUGGGGCGAAGUACAGGACAGAGAGCCCAGAGGAUUUUGAGGGGGGGCUUUGGAAUCGUCUUGGGGCUGGGCUGCUUGCUAGUGACCCCAGGACCCCAGGGGUAGGGGGCCGACCUACUUCCAUGGUCCAGAGAGCAAGAUACCCUCCUUUCA
This 386-nucleotide long non-coding RNA is filed under the name Bos taurus (domestic cattle). Its description in RNAcentral is "long non-coding RNA NONBTAT011658". Lineage: Eukaryota; Metazoa; Chordata; Mammalia; Artiodactyla; Bovidae. The record is from RNAcentral.